This 102-nucleotide non-coding RNA is filed under the name Cryptomonas curvata. Lineage: Eukaryota; Cryptophyceae; Cryptomonadales; Cryptomonadaceae. The record is from RNAcentral.
GGGUGGACUGCCCGUGGCCGAAAAGCAGCAGGCCGAUGGUGCCGCGGCCGCCGGUGGGCAACCUGCAGCCGCCGUCGGCACAGUCCAGCCCCAGCCGACAUC